AUUGAACGCUGGCGGCAGGCCUAACACAUGCAAGUCGAACGGUAACAGGAAGCAGCUUGCUGCUUCGCUGACGAGUGGCGGACGGGUGAGUAAUGUCUGGGAAACUGCCUGAUGGAGGGGGAUAACUACUGGAAACGGUAGCUAAUACCGCAUAACGUCGCAAGACCAAAGAGGGGGACCUUAGGGCCUCUUGCCAUCGGAUGUGCCCAGAUGGGAUUAGCUAGUAGGUGGGGUAACGGCUCACCUAGGUGACGAUCCCUAGCUGGUCUGAGAGGAUGACCAGCCACACUGGAACUGAGACACGGUCCAGACUCCUACGGGAGGCAGCAGUGGGGAAUAUUGCACAAUGGGCGCAAGCCUGAUGCAGCCAUGCCGCGUGUAUGAAGAAGGCCUUCGGGUUGUAAAGUACUUUCAGCGGGGAGGAAGGGAGUAAAGUUAAUACCUUUGCUCAUUGACGUUACCCGCAGAAGAAGCACCGGCUAACUCCGUG
Molecule: ribosomal RNA, 490 nt
Filed under: uncultured bacterium
Lineage: Bacteria
Description: partial 16S ribosomal RNA
Rfam family: Bacterial small subunit ribosomal RNA
Source: RNAcentral